GACGAACGCUGGCGGCGUGCUUAACACAUGCAAGUCGAACGGAAAGGCCCUGCUUUUGUGGGGUGCUCGAGUGGCGAACGGGUGAGUAACACGUGAGUAACCUGCCCUUGACUUUGGGAUAACUUCAGGAAACUGGGGCUAAUACCGGAUAGGAGCUCCUGCUGCAUGGUGGGGGUUGGAAAGUUUCGGCGGUUGGGGAUGGACUCGCGGCUUAUCAGCUUGUUGGUGGGGUAGUGGCUUACCAAGGCUUUGACGGGUAGCCGGCCUGAGGGGGUGACCGGCACAAUGGGAAUUGGAUAACGGCCCAAAUCCCUACGGGGGGAAGAGGUGGGGAAUAUGGAACAAGGGCCGGAGGCCUGAUGCAGCACCGCGGCGGGGGGGAGGACGGCCUUGGGGUGGAAACCGCUUUCGCCUGUGACGAAGCGUGAGUGACGGUAAUGGGUAAAGAAGCACCGGCUAACUACGUG
This 467-nucleotide ribosomal RNA is filed under the name uncultured bacterium. Its description in RNAcentral is "partial 16S ribosomal RNA". It matches the Rfam family "Bacterial small subunit ribosomal RNA", at positions 28 to 507 of the family's 1533-position model. The record is from RNAcentral.